GGAGGGAUGGCAGAGCGGCCGAAUGCGAGGCUCUUGAAAAGCCUUGGGCGCAAGCCCCGUGGGUUCAAAUCCCACUCCCUCCGCCC
Molecule: transfer RNA, 86 nt
Filed under: Actinomycetes bacterium
Lineage: Bacteria; Bacillati; Actinomycetota; Actinomycetes
Description: Actinobacteria bacterium tRNA-Ser
Rfam family: tRNA
About the family: Transfer RNA (tRNA) molecules are approximately 80 nucleotides in length. Their secondary structure includes four short double-helical elements and three loops (D, anti-codon, and T loops). Further hydrogen bonds mediate the characteristic L-shaped molecular structure. tRNAs have two regions of fundamental functional importance: the anti-codon, which is responsible for specific mRNA codon recognition, and the 3' end, to which the tRNAs corresponding amino acid is attached (by aminoacyl-tRNA synthetases). tRNAs cope with the degeneracy of the genetic code in two manners: having more than one tRNA (with a specific anti-codon) for a particular amino acid; and 'wobble' base-pairing, i.e. permitting non-standard base-pairing at the 3rd anti-codon position.
Source: RNAcentral